This 69-nucleotide transfer RNA is filed under the name Ocnus glacialis. RNAcentral's name for it is "tRNA-Pro". Lineage: Eukaryota; Metazoa; Echinodermata; Holothuroidea; Dendrochirotida; Cucumariidae. The record is from RNAcentral.
CAGAAUCUAGUUUAUAACAAAAUAAUUAUUUUGGGGAUAAUAGAUAUAGAAAAAAUUUUAUGUUUCUGA